GGCAUUUAUAAAUUGUGCUCUAUGCUUAUGACUGCAUUAGAAUAUGAUGGUCAGGAAAGCCAACUACUAAGAAUUCAUCUGCAGUCGGAAAAGGCCUCUGCCACACAGCAGUCAGUCACCUACAAUGAAUAAGCUGAAUCCAGUGGACUGUGACGGUGAGACACUGCUGGGUUACAAGUAAGAAAGAAGCCUGAGUGAUGCUGUAUCUUGGAAAGACAUUCCCAGGCCUCGGGCUUCAAGCAUGAGUAUUUUGGAAACCUCUCCAGCGACUUGGAUAUACUCCUCACUGCACACCUCAUGGCUAGAGGGACCAUCUGGGAGAGGAAGGUUUUUUAGUUUUCUCCUCGGUAUCAUCUGUGCCUAGCAUGAUACCCAUGUGGUGGUAGCAUGAAAGCAAAUGAUGUCCUCUUUCGCUUGGCAAGAGAGAAACAGAAGAGAGAGAAAGGAAACAAAGCUCUCACCUGUAAGACAGGAAGACUCAUUAAUGGAUGAAUUAGAACUAGACUUGAGUCUAAAAGAAAAUUUUAUGUGCAUAUACAACUUCAGAAGGGGGGACAGUUUUCUAGGAAAUAGCAUGCACAAAAUACAUACAGAUUGAGAUAACUAUUCCAUAAAGAAUAGGGAAGAAAUUCGUGUGAUGGAAAAGUUAACAACACAUGUACAUUUUAUUAAUUUAAAUAGGCAUGUUGGUACCAAGUAUAGCUUUUCUGCCAUUCCUUUUUCUAGUUCAGAUGUAGCAUCAUGAGAUUUGAAGCUGGAUGAUUCCACAUUCUAAAUGUUUACAAGCUAAAAUACUUUAAAGAAAUUCACAUUUUUCAUGCUACAGUGUAUUGAUUUCUAUCUCAAUGAAAGGUAAAGCUAACUAUUUACUAACUACCUUCUUCCACAAAGCUGAUCUUUCUUGUCUUUAGAUGAUUCUGUAUGUUUUGUCUGUCUGAAUUGGCUCCCACUCACCUGGUCUCUUACUACAGA
Long non-coding RNA from Prionailurus viverrinus (fishing cat), 972 nucleotides. RefSeq lists it as uncharacterized. NCBI's taxonomy places the organism in Eukaryota, Metazoa, Chordata, Mammalia, Carnivora, Felidae. The record is from RefSeq and is a predicted model, not a curated record. The transcript has 4 exons.